UGUAUAACGGGUGAUUUUUUUGAGGUUAGGAUUUUCAUGCAUUAGUAUUUGACAGAUCACGUGGGAUUUCAGACAUGGUGUCAAAGAGAAAGAUGCUCAGUAUGCUUUGACAUUUCAUCAUGAAUAGACUUACUAACGAGCAACGCUUGCAAAUCAUUGAAUUUUAUUACCAAAAUCAGUGUUCGGUUCUUUUCUUUUUUAUCGACAAAUUUUGUUCAGCGAUGAGGCUCAUUUCUGGUUGAAUGGCUACGUAAAUAAGCAAAAUUGCCGCAUUUGGGGUGAAGAGCAACCAGAAGCCGUUCAAGAACUGCCCAUGCAUCCCGAAAAAUGCACUGUUUGGUGUGGUUUGUACGCUGGUGGAAUCAUUGGACCGUAUUUUUUCAAAGAUGCUGUUGGACGCAACGUUACGGUGAAUGGCGAUCGCUAUCGUUCGAUGCUAACAAACUUUUUGUUGCCAAAAAUGGAAGAACUGAACUUGGUUGACAUGUGGUUUCAACAAGAUGGCGCUACAUGCCACACAGCUCGCGAUUCUAUGGCCAUUUUGAGGGAAAACUUCGGACAACAAUUCAUCUCAAGAAAUGGACCCGUAAGUUGGCCACCAAGAUCAUGCGAUUUAACGCCUUUAGACUAUUUUUUGUGGGGCUACGUCAAGUCUAAAGUCUACAGAAAUAAGCCAGCAACUAUUCCAGCUUUGGAAGACAACAUUUCCGAAGAAAUUCGGGCUAUUCCGGCCGAAAUGCUCGAAAAAUUUCCCAAAAUUGGACUUUCCGAAUGGACCACCUAAGACGCAGCCGCGGUCAACAUUUAAAUGAAAUUAUCUUCAAAAAGUAAAUGUCAUGAACCAAUCUAACGUUUCAAAUAAAGAACCGAUGAGAUUUUGCAAAUUUUAUGCGUUUUUUUUAAAAAAAAAGUUAUCAAGCUCUUAAAAAAUCACCCUUUAUAUACA
Bactrocera dorsalis (oriental fruit fly) is the source of this 946-nucleotide long non-coding RNA. RefSeq lists it as uncharacterized. The record is from RefSeq and is a predicted model, not a curated record. Lineage: Eukaryota; Metazoa; Arthropoda; Insecta; Diptera; Tephritidae. The transcript is spliced from 2 exons.